GGUUUCUUGUGUUUAUAGGAAAUUUAACCUGCCCACUGAAUAUAUAUUUUGAAGGGCCGCAGUAUUUUGACUGUGCAAAGGUAGCAUAAUCAUUAGUCUUUUAAUUGAGGGCUGGUAUGAAUGGUUGGACGAGACAAAAACUGUUUUAUAUUAAUUUGAUUUGAAAUUAGAAUUUGAGUAAGAAUACUUAAAUUUUGUUAAGGGACGAGAAGACCCUAUAGAGUUUAAUAUAAAUAAUUUUGAUUAAGUUAUUAAUGAAUUUUUGGUUAGUUAUUUAAUAUAUUUUGUUGGGGUGAUUGAAAGAUAUAAGAAACUCUUUUUAAUUAUAUAUAGUAUUGUUAAUAAAAUGAUCCAUUAUUUAGUGAUUAUAAGAUUAAAUUACCUUAGGGAUAACAGCAUAAUAUCUUUUGAGAGUUCAAAUUGAGAAAGGGGAUUAUGACCUCGAUGUUGGAUUAAGAUGAAUUUUGGGUGUAGAUGUUUAAUGAAUUAGGUCUGUUCGACCUUUAAUUUCUUACA
Molecule: ribosomal RNA, 516 nt
Filed under: Hapalomantis congica katangica
Lineage: Eukaryota; Metazoa; Arthropoda; Insecta; Mantodea; Nanomantidae
Description: partial 16S ribosomal RNA
Rfam family: Bacterial large subunit ribosomal RNA
Source: RNAcentral